GUGGGGAAUAUUGCGCAAUGGGCGAAAGCCUGACGCAGCGACGCCGCGUGAGGGAUGAAGGCCUUCGGGUUGUAAACCUCUGUCGGGAGGGACGAAAUCUUGACGGUACCUCCAAAGGAAGCACCGGCUAACUCUGUGCCAGCAGCCGCGGUAAUACAGAGGGUGCAAGCGUUGUCCGGAAUCACUGGGCGUAAAGGGCGCGUAGGCGGCCUGAUAAGUCGGGGGUGAAACGCUGCGGCUUAACCGCAGCACUGCCUUCGAGACUGUCAGGCUUGAGCACGGUAGAGGCUGGUGGAAUUCCCGGUGUAGCGGUGGAAUGCGUAGAGAUCGGGAAGAACAUCGGUGGCGAAGGCGGCCAGCUGGGCCGUUGCUGACGCUGAGGCGCGACAGCGUGGGGAGCAAACAGGAUUAGAUACCCCUGUAGUCC
RNAcentral lists this ribosomal RNA (427 nucleotides) under uncultured bacterium. RNAcentral's name for it is "bacterial SSU rRNA". It matches the Rfam family "Bacterial small subunit ribosomal RNA", at positions 354 to 796 of the family's 1533-position model. The record is from RNAcentral.